Molecule: long non-coding RNA, 1058 nt
Filed under: Helianthus annuus (common sunflower)
Lineage: Eukaryota; Viridiplantae; Streptophyta; Magnoliopsida; Asterales; Asteraceae
Description: sRNA HanXRQr2_Chr04g0185851
Source: RNAcentral
AUGAUCUUCUUUCUUAUUUCUGUAUUCGUUAUCUUUGGGUAUUUGGGGGGCAAUCUCUUUUGGGUUGGUUAAAUAAGAUUUUGUCACCUGUUUUUGUCGCUAUUUCUGUUGUUUUGUUUGUGAUUGUGUUAAAAUCAUAUAUUUCUACAUGGUAUCAGAGCUCUUGAGCUCUUGAUCCGAUCUUAUUUCCGCUGUUGUUUUCUGAUCUGGUUUGAUUGUUCUUGGUGUGUAGGUCUGCUUCAAGUUGCAGAUCUGUACUUGUUGUUGAGGGAGAUCUUCUGGAUCUUGGGAGGUUGUUGAUAUUCAAACCCUAGCUAGGGUUUCGUAUAUCUUGUUGAAGAACUGUGUUGGUCUCUAAACCCUUGAAGGUUUAGGGCAAACUGACCAGUUUGUUUGUGCUUCAUAUUGUAUUAAAAACCUCAGAUCUGUUUCAGAUCUGGUGUUUUUUGGAUAGCUUGCACCCACUGUGAGAUCUUUCUCUCCCCUCUCUUUAUUUCUGUUGUUGGUUGAUUAGUUGAAGUCGGGGUAGUGAGGACCGGCAUUUGUUUGUUUGUUUGAUUUCUUAUCUGCUAUCAUUGUUGUUUCAAAGUGGUGUUCCACUAAAUUUUUGGUCUGAUUGUGUGUUGACUGCUGUUUAUCUUAUUAACAGGUUACCUUCCUCUGUUUUGUUAGGUAAAAGCCCCUAUGAAUUAAUGUUUGGUUUUAAACCCUCUUUUGCUCAUCUUAGAGUGUUUGGUUGUUUGUGCUUUAGUACUAUAUUAAAUAAUUCAGAUAAACUAUCUUUUAAUGCUGAGAAAUGUGUUUUGAUUGGUUAUUCUAAUACAAAGAAAGGUUAUAAACUGUGGAGUUUAGAUAACAAAAAGGAAUUUUAUUCUAGAGAUGUAAAAUUUUAUGAAAAUGUUUUUCCUUUUAAAUCAAAUAAGUCAGUUAACCAAGAUGUUAGUUUAACUGAAAACUUAAAUCAUCUGAAUUUUUUUGAUAUUGUUGAGGUAUUAACAACCAAACCUAUAGUUCCCAAUGAUGAAGAGGGGAGUAAUCAAACUCAUGAGGUUACUGGU